UAUGCCCUCUGUAAUUUAUUUGGUUUCUCGAUUAAUCGAUGUGUAUGCUUUCUAUUCUCUGUACUGCUCUAGAUUUCUUUGUUAAUAUGUAUGGAUUUGUGCCUGUGAAUUUGAUCCACCAUCGUCGACGUUCUAGUGCAAUCCAGGCCUGUGUUUUUGUGUUCAUGGCAUUUUUUUUGUUGAUUUUAAUGAAGAAUUAUUUCUGUGCAAUCCAGGCCCGUGGCCUGCUUUUUUUUUAAAUUCUAAAAUUCGUACCAAUGGCGGUCAUAUCUACCCGCCAGCACUAGCGGUAAGCACCAGUGGCGGGUUACAGCACUGCCACUGGUGCAAAUAUCACCAAUGACGCGUGGUU
This 352-nucleotide long non-coding RNA is filed under the name Brachypodium distachyon (stiff brome). RNAcentral's name for it is "long non-coding RNA (BDIS_LNC000157)". The record is from RNAcentral. Lineage: Eukaryota; Viridiplantae; Streptophyta; Magnoliopsida; Poales; Poaceae.